GGUUUGGUGGUCUAGUGGUAUGAUUCUCGCUUAGGGUACACCCUAUAGCCAAAUAUGCGAGAGGUCCCGGGUUCAAUCCCCGGCCAAACCC
This is a non-coding RNA of Hypoxylon sp. CI-4A, 91 nucleotides long. The record is from the annotation of a GenBank genome assembly. Lineage: Eukaryota; Fungi; Ascomycota; Sordariomycetes; Xylariales; Hypoxylaceae.